RNAcentral lists this transfer RNA (75 nucleotides) under Kordia antarctica. RNAcentral describes it as "tRNA-Asn". It matches the Rfam family "tRNA". From Rfam's summary of the family: Transfer RNA (tRNA) molecules are approximately 80 nucleotides in length. Their secondary structure includes four short double-helical elements and three loops (D, anti-codon, and T loops). Lineage: Bacteria; Pseudomonadati; Bacteroidota; Flavobacteriia; Flavobacteriales; Flavobacteriaceae. The record is from RNAcentral.
UCCUCCUUAGCUCAGUUGGUUAGAGCAUCUGACUGUUAAUCAGAGGGUCCAAAGUUCGAGUCUUUGAGGAGGAGC